UUAAAGCGGCAUCAUUUUGUAUCGGGAUUUGGCUGAAGCGCAUCAUGAGGACAGUGGACAAAUGUUAAGUCUCCAGGAGGGGGAGGAAAAAAUGAGGGAAGAAAUCUGGUGCCAAGCUGGCAGGUGUAUAACAAGGCAUCACUCCGUAGCCUGUUCCGCUUCCCUGCCGACCCACAUGCCCUGAGCUGUGCCAAGACCUGAGCCAGCGCAUGGGGUGAAGGGGGACAGCAGCCGGGCACCCCGGGCUUGAGGCCAGGCCAGAAGGGCUGCAUCUGCCAGGGGAUGUAGCACCCUUGCAGGGAUGGAUCUCCCUGUCAGUGCAUUGUCUGGUUUUACAUGGCCAUCACGCUCUCGUUUGCUGCGAGAAGGUGGAUUUGCAACGUGUAAGCCCCAGCUGGCAGUCCAUCUCCCUGCUUUCUGCUGUCAUUGCAUUUCCAGUUGAUGGUCUUUCCCACCUGGAAGAAUCUGCCCUAUGAGGAAAGACUGAGGGAGUUGGGUCUCUUCUGCCUGGACCUCAUGACAGCAUUCCAGUAUUAAAAGGUGGCUGUAAGGAGUAUGGAGGCUCUCUCUUCACAGGGAUUUAUGGAGAAGACGUGGCAAUAGCUACAAGUCACGCUGGGAGAGGCUUUAUCUUGAAAUGCGAAAGAAAUUUUUUACAGUGAGAACAGUCAAUGACAGAAACAACCUCCCCAGGGACAUGGUGGAGUCUCCAUCGCUGGAGGUUUUCAAGAUGGCACUGGACAGCGUGCUGGAUAACCUUAUCCAGGCUUCCCUUCCACAAAAGGUGGGACCAGAUGCAAGGUCUCGUCCGACCUCAGCUGUUCCUUGAUUCUACAAUUCCCACGUGUCUUUUUCCAUCUCCUGGCAAGUUGUCCCCGGGAAUGGGAUGUCCACCUGUCCUGGUGAGAGUGAAGGGCUCUGCAGCUCCAGCACCCAAUGAGGGUUUAUCCAACCAGUGUAUCCCCAACAGCUCUGCCACAAACUCUCCAGCAUGCCUUGGACAUGCUAUUUGCUCAGUUGUUUCCCACUCUUUUGCCCUUUGUUUUAGAGGACUGAGCAGAUUUCCCCUAGUGUUAGUUGUUUUAUUUCUCCAAGUGCAAAACAUCUGGAUCGGAGGUCAUACUAAACCCCUUGGAAUCCUCAGAAAUUCUGGGGAGUGAAACCACUCUUCUCAUUCAGAAGUGUUCAAAAACCAUAUGGAUGAGGCCCUUAGGGACAUAGCUUAGUGGUGGCCUUGGCAGGCCUGGGGUAACGGUUGGACUUGAUCUUAAAGGUCUUUUCCAAGCUGGUGGAUUCCAUGAUUUAGUCACGAUAUUUUAAUCUUGCUUGUAUUGCCAUUUGAGUAGGCAAACACAGUUACUAGAAGGGAAGUUGUGUGCUCACCAGUGAGACAACAUGGGGCCAGAAAAGUUCUGAUGGGUAUUUUCAGAUGCACAUGGGAGAAGCAAACCCCAUCUGGCAUCACCGGGGAAUAUCGUGCACCAUGGGGGAGCCGCUUGUGUUUAAGUUGAAGAUUCAUUCAUCCUCUUAGAGCCAUCCGUAUUUUUUACAAGAUGCAGCUCCAGCCUUGAAUCAAUCUGUUUAUUAAUAUAAGCUGCCCUUGCGAAGAGUGAAAAAGGAUUUAAAUAAGCACCGCAGGUUUUCCUGCCUUCCCAUGGUGAGGGGGAGGCUGCCUUCAGAGUUAAAUCCCAGGCUGGGAUCCAUGCCUGGGCCAAAUUCCUGACUGCCAAUCAUGGGCAGCCUCCAGCCCCAUGGGCCCUGGGGGUGCUGGAGCUAAGGGGAUGCCACUACAAGUAACGCCUGCAUGUCUGUCUGCAAAACAAAGGUGUUCUUUGUGCUCCAAAAUUCAGAUUAUCUGUGAAUACAUAUUCCUCAUGAGAGGUAGAAUAAAGGUGCAACUCAACUAAUGUAACCCAGCCAAUAUGGAGAAUUUAAAUUAAAAGGAGAAAAAUUCCUUGAGAGGCAUCUCCCAACCUUUACAGUGAUAUAUUGUGUGCCAGGGAAAAGGUCAGGCUCCAGUUAAUGAUUUGAUGUUAAAUGUGUCUCUGAUCUCUCCAAGAUCCUGUUUCUCCUUGAAUUGUUUCCAUAGCUUGAAUGCUGUUGGGGCACAGCUGCUUCUCACCUUCACUCUGAUGGAAAGGAAGGAAAUUACCUGAGUUCCCAUCCUCCGAGGGGUAUCGACUCCCAGUGCAGCACAGCACCUCAAAGUGGCCCAUCCACAAACCUCCCAUCUCUUGUCUCAUGGCACAGGCUUGCUCUUGAUGUAUUAUUUUGAGCAGAAGCUGGAAAUUUGGAGCACAAUGUCUGGAGCAAAACUGGGAUAAGAUUAAGCCUCAGCUGUAGCCUAUAAAAUCAUCUUGGUGCAAUAUGAUCUAUCAAGGACUAACUAGGGAAGGACCAUGUAAAAUCAUGUUGCUGUCAGUGGGGCUGUGGAUGGAGUUGCACCUGACUGAUUGUCUCCCAGCCAAACCAGGGAAGCAGUGCAGGUGAUGGAUCUCUGAAGCCAUGGGGAAGCAAUCUGCAGUUCAAACACUAUGAGGAGCAGAGGUGAGUUUUCACAGUGAGGAUUAAAACUAGAGAUGUGAGCAGAGAGAUCUCCCUGCAUGACAAAUCCAAGCAGAUCAAAUACAUGAAUAGAGACCAGAAGCCAUGCUGCAGAAAAGGAGUGGGGAGAUGUGGCAGCUGACAAGGUCUGGAUCACUUCCGCCAUCCUUCAGAAGGAAAAACAACCACGAGUUUAAAAAACCAAACCCUUGCCAACAAAAAAAUACCAUCUCAUUCGAGGAAUAUAUUCAAAUGGGGAGUUAUGUGAAAUCUGGGAAAUAUUGCUGCUGCUCUUCUGGAUGCCAGAGAGACUUUGGAGCUGUGCUCAGUGCCAGUGUGCUCUAGGGCAGAAAUUAUAGAUAAAAUGGACGGGGAGUGCCACAGAAAGGAGGGUACAGAAAGCAUGGCCUGUAGGAAAGCAGCACACAGAGAGGUUAUUCUAGAAGAGAGGAGGUUGUUGUCAGGAUAAACACCUGCUUUUCAGCACAAUGUCAGAUUUGUCUCAUGUCUGGAAGACAGCUCUACCUUCAACAAAAAGAUUUCAGCAAUGUAUUAGGACUGCCGCAGAACUAUGUCCUAGCUGCAAGGAUGCAUGGUGCAGUUGAAUAAGAUGAUUGUUGUAGGUCCUUUCCAACUGA
This is a long non-coding RNA of Pezoporus occidentalis (night parrot), 3182 nucleotides long. RefSeq lists it as uncharacterized. The transcript has 3 exons. The record is from RefSeq and is a predicted model, not a curated record. Lineage: Eukaryota; Metazoa; Chordata; Aves; Psittaciformes; Psittacidae.